Molecule: ribosomal RNA, 253 nt
Filed under: uncultured bacterium
Lineage: Bacteria
Description: partial 16S ribosomal RNA
Rfam family: Bacterial small subunit ribosomal RNA
Source: RNAcentral
UACAGAGGUCUCAAGCGUUGUUCGGAUUCAUUGGGCGUAAAGGGUGCGUAGGUGGCGAGGCAAGUCGGAUGUGAAAUCCCGGGGCUUAACCCCGGAACUGCAUUCGAUACUGCCUUGCUCGAGUACUGGAGAGGAGACUGGAAUUUACGGUGUAGCAGUGAAAUGCGUAGAUAUCGUAAGGAAGACCAGUGGCGAAGGCGAGUCUCUGGACAGUUACUGACACUGAGGCACGAAAGCGUGGGGAGCAAACAGG